GAAUAUGGGGGGACCAUCCUCCAAGGCUAAAUACUCCUGACUGACCGAUAGUGAACCAGUACCGUGAGGGAAAGGCGAAAAGAACCCCGGCGAGGGGAGUGAAAAAGAACCUGAAACCGUGUACGUACAAGCAGUGGGAGCACGCUUAGGCGUGUGACUGCGUACCUUUUGUAUAAUGGGUCAGCGACUUAUAUUCUGUAGCAAGGUUAACCGAAUAGGGGAGCCGAAGGGAAACCGAGUCUUAACUGGGCGUUAAGUUGCAGGGUAUAGACCCGAAACCCGGUGAUCUAGCCAUGGGCAGGUUGAAGGUUGGGUAACACUAACUGGAGGACCGAACCGACUAAUGUUGAAAAAU
RNAcentral lists this ribosomal RNA (355 nucleotides) under Escherichia coli. RNAcentral's name for it is "partial 23S ribosomal RNA". It matches the Rfam family "Bacterial large subunit ribosomal RNA", at positions 440 to 797 of the family's 2925-position model. Lineage: Bacteria; Pseudomonadati; Pseudomonadota; Gammaproteobacteria; Enterobacterales; Enterobacteriaceae. The record is from RNAcentral.